RNAcentral lists this ribosomal RNA (433 nucleotides) under uncultured bacterium. RNAcentral describes it as "partial 16S ribosomal RNA". It matches the Rfam family "Bacterial small subunit ribosomal RNA", at positions 29 to 507 of the family's 1533-position model. The record is from RNAcentral.
AACGAACGCUGGCGGCAUGCCUAACACAUGCAAGUCGAACGAGACCUUCGGGUCUAGUGGCGCACGGGUGCGUAACGCGUGGGAACCUGCCCUUAGGUUCGGAAUAACUCCCCGAAAGGGGUGCUAAUACCGGAUAAUGUCUUCGGACCAAAGAUUUAUCGCCUUUGGAUGGGCCCGCGUUGGAUUAGCUAGUUGGUAGGGUAAAAGCAUACCAAGGCGACGAUCCAUAGCUGGUCUGAGAGGAUGAUCAGCCACACUGGGACUGAGACACGGCCCAGAAUACUACGGGAGGCAGCAGUGGGGAAUAUAGGAAAAGGGGCGAAAGAAUGAAACAGCAAUGACGCGUGAGUGAUGAAGGCAUUAGGGUAGUAAAGCUCUUUUACAAGGGAUGAUAAUGACAGUACCGGGAGAAUAAGCUCCGGCUAACUACGUG